CUGCCUGAGUGAUAUCCCUCCAGAGCCUAAGGGGUUCUGAAGCGGGCAAGUUCUCUAGGUUCCUCAGUAUAUUUAGGAGGGAGAAUCAUACACAUGCAGAGACCAGACCAAGGCAGAAGGAGGCCAGCCUUCUAUCACGUUGGAGAACAAGACAAGGAAAUGGUCCUGGGGAAGACCCAGUGAAUACUGGGCAGGGCUAGAGAACCUUCCUGGAGAAGAGUUUGCUCAGAAGGCAUCAUCUCAACCGUCCACCAACCAUGUUGAGGAGGAGAGAAUGAAGCAUUUGGAGGACCUGAAAAUUGUUCUCCAGAAGAUGCCAAACGAGAGAGAUGAACGCCAGAGAAUACUGGCAUAUUACCCUAGAAACAAUUUAAAUGACAGCCUGAGGUACUCCAUCCUACGAAGUGAGUCUAUUCGGCUGAAGCACAAUGCCAAGAGAGCACAGAAUGAGAACAGGGAGUUUCUAUGGAACAAAUUGCACUGGAACAGUCCAUUAAGGAAACAGCGAGGUUCCGUGUGGAAGCCAGUAUGAAAAACCACGUAACAAGCAGCAUCAGGUCUGCAACACUCCAGCAGAAACUUGCACAGGGCCCAGACCAGGACUACAGCUCUCAGAGACAGAACUGUCCACCAGGAACACUGAGGGUGCAAAGACUGACAACACCUCCCGCAUCUCAGUUCUCAUAACCAUAACACUCUUGGGCUGCAUUUGAAAGACCUUGAGAUAUCAUAUGGAACAUGCCUAAUGUUUAACCUUUUGAGAACUUGUCCAUCAACAACCACCACCCCGAAUGAGGCAUGUCUACAUUCAUCUUGAAGAGAUUUUUACCAUUUUGCCUGCCAUUCUGCUAUGCUUGCAAGGCCAGCAACAGGCUGGAGGUAUAUGUUGCAAAAUCUGCAGCCAUUGAAUGUUGAUUAAUUUACCUGCUGUAUUUGGUUUUCAGUUUUUAGUUUGAUUGUUUUAUGCAUUUGGUUUUUUUGUUUACACUUGAAGUUUUGUCAUUUAUUUGUUAACUUUAGUUUUUAAAAUUAAUAUGCUAUAUUCCUAAGGCUAUAUUAAUUGAACUCAUUGACUCCCCACUUUAAAAUGUUCUCGAAUAAAUUAAUGUUUGCCUAUAAAUAAAAAUGUGACCUCUAACCCUUCACUCAUAAGACCCUUCUGAGUCAUGUGUGGUUUUCCCUCCUGUAACAGCACAAGUAUAAGGCAACAGUGGUU
RNAcentral lists this long non-coding RNA (1216 nucleotides) under Rattus norvegicus (Norway rat). RNAcentral's name for it is "long non-coding RNA NONRATT032945". The record is from RNAcentral. Lineage: Eukaryota; Metazoa; Chordata; Mammalia; Rodentia; Muridae.